This 376-nucleotide ribosomal RNA is filed under the name uncultured bacterium. RNAcentral describes it as "bacterial SSU rRNA". It matches the Rfam family "Bacterial small subunit ribosomal RNA", at positions 521 to 895 of the family's 1533-position model. The record is from RNAcentral.
UAAUACGUAGGGGGCAAGCGUUGUCCGGAAUCAUUGGGCGUAAAGCGCGUGUAAGCGGCCCGGUAAGUCCGCUGUGAAAGUCCAGGGCUCAACCCUGGAAAGCCGGUGGAUACUGUCGGGCUCGAGUCCGGAAGAGGUGAGUGGAAUUCCUGGUGUAGCGGUGAAAUGCGCAGAUAUCAGGAGGAACACCAAUGGCGAAGGCAGCUCACUGGGACGGUACUGACGCUGAGACGCGAAAGCGUGGGGAGCAAACAGGAUUAGAUACCCUGGUAGUCCACGCCGUAAACGAUGGUCACUAGGUGUGGGGGGUGUCGACUCCCUCCGUGCCGAAGCUAACGCAUUAAGUGACCCGCCUGGGGAGUACGGCCGCAAGACU